RNAcentral lists this transfer RNA (26 nucleotides) under Bryoxiphium norvegicum. Its description in RNAcentral is "partial tRNA-Ser". The record is from RNAcentral. Lineage: Eukaryota; Viridiplantae; Streptophyta; Bryopsida; Bryoxiphiales; Bryoxiphiaceae.
GGAAAGAGAGGGAUUCGAACCCUUCG